GAUGAACGCUGGCGGCGUGCUUAACACAUGCAAGUCGAACGAUGAAGCUCAGCUUGCUGGGUGGAUUAGUGGCGAACGGGUGAGUAACACGUGAGUAACCUGCCCUUAACUCUGGGAUAAGCCUGGGAAACUAGGUCUAAUACCGGAUAGGAGCGCCUACCGCAUGGUGGGUGUUGGAAAGAUUUAUCGGUUUUGGAUGGACUCGCGGCCUAUCAGCUUGUUGGUGAGGUAAUGGCUCACCAAGGCGACGACGGGUAGCCGGCCUGAGAGGGUGACCGGCCACACUGGGACUGAGACACGGCUCAGACUCCUACGGGAGGCAGCAGUGGGGAAUAUUGCACAAUGGGCGAAAGCCUGAUGCAGCGACGCCGCGUGAGGGAUGACGGCCUUCGGGUUGUAAACCUCUUUCAGUAGGGAAGAAGCGAAAGUGACGGUACCUGCAGAAGAAGCACCGGCUAACUACGUG
This 466-nucleotide ribosomal RNA is filed under the name uncultured bacterium. Its description in RNAcentral is "partial 16S ribosomal RNA". It matches the Rfam family "Bacterial small subunit ribosomal RNA", at positions 28 to 507 of the family's 1533-position model. The record is from RNAcentral.